This is a long non-coding RNA of Phyllostomus discolor (pale spear-nosed bat), 345 nucleotides long. RefSeq lists it as uncharacterized. The record is from RefSeq and is a predicted model, not a curated record. NCBI's taxonomy places the organism in Eukaryota, Metazoa, Chordata, Mammalia, Chiroptera, Phyllostomidae. The transcript has 3 exons.
GGAUCAUCAUACUAAUUGGAUUGAGUACUAAUCUUCCCCCUUGACUUCCCUGCCUUUACAGGAAAGUGGUUUAGAGUAGAGAGACAUGGUGCCCUAAUGAGAGGUUGGUUGGGACAUGGAGAGUCCUCCAUCCAGCAAGGAUGCAGCUGCACUCAGGCUCAGGGCCAGGCUUUGGUGGAAGAGGGAAUCUGAAAGCAGUCCCGGGAAGCAGUCAGGUGGAGAGGAGGUUAACUAGCACCUCAUGAGCAUGGGCCUGUUGAUUCUGGCCAAGACUCCAGGUUCCUGGAGGUUCCUUUUAUUUAACCAAAGUCAACAAAGCAAUGACUUCAGAGCAGCAGAGAGCCA